RNAcentral lists this ribosomal RNA (392 nucleotides) under uncultured bacterium. RNAcentral's name for it is "bacterial SSU rRNA". It matches the Rfam family "Bacterial small subunit ribosomal RNA", at positions 30 to 424 of the family's 1533-position model. The record is from RNAcentral.
AUUGAACGCUGGCGGCAUGCCUUACACAUGCAAGUCGAACGGCAGCACGGGGCAACCUGGUGGCGAGUGGCGAACGGGUGAGUAAUGCAUCGGAACGUGCCAUUGAGUGGGGGAUAACGUAGCGAAAGUUGCGCUAAUACCGCAUAUUCUGUGAGCAGGAAAGCAGGGGACCGCAAGGCCUUGCGCUCUUUGAGCGGCCGAUGUCAGAUUAGCUAGUUGGUGAGGUAACGGCUUACCAAGGCGACGAUCUGUAGCGGGUCUGAGAGGAUGAUCCGCCACACUGGAACUGAGACACGGUCCAGACUCCUACGGGAGGCAGCAGUGGGGAAUUUUGGACAAUGGGCGCAAGCCUGAUCCAGCCAUGCCGCGUGAGUGAAGAAGGCCUUCGGGUU